GUGUGGGCGUUAGAGCAUUGAGAGGACCUUUCCCUAGUACGAGAGGACCGGGAAGGACGCAUCUCUGGUGUACCAGUUAUCGUGCCCACGGUAAACGCUUGGUAGCCAAGUGCGGAGCGGAUAACUACUGAAAGCAUCUAAGUAGUAAGCCCAACCCUUGGAACAUACUACAGCCCCAAGUGGCGAAGAGCCGACAUCAAGGUGCCAAACCUU
Molecule: non-coding RNA, 213 nt
Filed under: Gossypium arboreum
Lineage: Eukaryota; Viridiplantae; Streptophyta; Magnoliopsida; Malvales; Malvaceae
Description: Bacterial large subunit ribosomal RNA
Rfam family: Bacterial large subunit ribosomal RNA
Source: Rfam by way of RNAcentral